RNAcentral lists this ribosomal RNA (160 nucleotides) under uncultured Ectothiorhodospiraceae bacterium. Its description in RNAcentral is "partial 16S ribosomal RNA". It matches the Rfam family "Bacterial small subunit ribosomal RNA", at positions 355 to 507 of the family's 1533-position model. Lineage: Bacteria; Pseudomonadati; Pseudomonadota; Gammaproteobacteria; Chromatiales; Ectothiorhodospiraceae. The record is from RNAcentral.
UGGGGAAUAUUGGACAAUGGGGGCAACCCUGAUCCAGCAAUGCCGCGUGUGUGAAGAAGGCCUGCGGGUUGUAAAGCACUUUCAAUUGGGAAGAAAAGCUUAAGGUUAAUACCCUUGAGUCUUGACGUUAUCUUUAGAAGAAGCACCGGCUAACUCCGUG